AACGUGGUGUCUUCCGAGGCGGAGGCGGCGGCGGAGGCAAAGUCGAAAGGGUCUGUGACGAGAGCGAGCGAUCGAGAGAGAAAGAAAGAGAGAGAGAGAGAGAGAGAGGAGAGAAGGAAGAGGCGGGGAUGGGAACGAUCUGUAAUGGAUCCCUCUGUUCGGUGCUUCCAACUCCUCGGAGAUCUUUCGAGGGGAUUUCCUUUUUCCAUGGUAGUCAUCUCAGGAAUCUUGACAGCAGUUCGAGGAAGAAUUCCGGCAUCCGCUGCAAGAUCUCGGAGGGCGGCCCGGUGGAACAGGGCUCCCGUAAAAAUCUCGAGGUGGAGGACUAUAACACCGUCAUGAAGCGCAUGAUGAGGAACCCGUACGAGUACCAUCAUGAUCUUGGCAUGAAUUAUACUAUCAUAAACGAUAGUUUAAUUGUCGGUUCUCAGCCUCAAAAGCCCAAAGAUAUUGAUCACCUAAAAGAGGCAGAAAAUGUAGCAUACAUUCUGUGCUUGCAGCAAGAUAAAGACAUUGAGUACUGGGGAAUAAAUUUUCAAGAUAUUCUCAACAGGUGCAAAGAACUUGGCAUUCAUCACAUGAGAAGGCCUGCAAGGGACUUUGAUCCAGAUUCACUGAGGAGCCAAUUGCCAAAAGCAGUCUCUUCACUAGAAUGGGCUAUUUCUGAGGGUAAAGGAAGAGUUUAUGUCCAUUGUACCGCUGGACUGGGAAGGGCACCUGCAGUUGCAAUUGCUUAUUUGUUUUGGUUCUGUGACAUGGAUCUUAACACAGCCUAUAAUACUGUUACUUCAAAAAGACCCUGUGGGCCAAACAAGCGAGCCAUCAGAGGAGCUACUUAUGAUUUGGCAAAGAAUGACCCGUGGAAAGAGCCUUUCGAGAGCUUGCCUGAGCAUGCCUUCGGGGGUAUUGCUGACUGGGAAAGGAAGUUGAUUCGAGAGCGAGUACGUGGACUUGGUGGAACUUGAGACAAUAUUAUUGGUUGAUUCAUGUCGAAACCUACCACAAGUUCAAGUUUUUCUGUCACAGACCUGAAACGUAAGUAAUGGAAUAGUUCCUUAGUUUCCGGGAGACUCGAGUGACUUCAAGCUGUUUUCUCCGAGGGAAGGAAGGAGGUGGUCUUGUUUUGGUCAAUGCACCUUCAGCAUGCAGGAGGCUACAGUUGUUGUAUGCAGUGUUUUGGUCAAUGCUCCUGAUUUGGUUCUCGAGGAACUCCUUGAGCGAAGAAUUGGGGCAACAUGUUCCCUUCAACUUCUGUCUACCACCUUGAUUUCUGUGCUCAUGCUUUAAAGACUUGGAUCUGGUAAGAUCCAACAUCAAGCUAUGUCUGAGUUGGUGUGUUAGGGUACUUUACUACCUCCAAAAUCUAUAAAAAUGAAGUUGUUGCUCCUA
RNA transcript from Musa acuminata AAA Group (dessert banana), 1389 nucleotides. It is a transcript of the gene named phosphoglucan phosphatase LSF2, chloroplastic-like, with no coding region annotated. The transcript is spliced from 6 exons. Lineage: Eukaryota; Viridiplantae; Streptophyta; Magnoliopsida; Zingiberales; Musaceae. The record is from RefSeq and is a predicted model, not a curated record.